GACGUAGGGCGCAAGCGUUGUCCGGAUUUAUUGGGCGUAAAGAGCUCGUAGGCGGCCUGUCGCGUUCGACCGUGAAAACCCGCAGCUCAACUGCGGGCUUGCGGUCGAUGACGGGCAGGCUGGAGUUCGGUAGGGGAGACUGGAAUUCCUGGUGUAGCGGUGAAAUGCGCAGAUAUCAGGAAGAACACCCGUGGCGAAGGCGGCCCUCUGGGACGGUACUGACGCUGAGACGCGAAAGCGUGGGGAGCGAACAGG
RNAcentral lists this ribosomal RNA (255 nucleotides) under uncultured bacterium. Its description in RNAcentral is "partial 16S ribosomal RNA". It matches the Rfam family "Bacterial small subunit ribosomal RNA", at positions 524 to 776 of the family's 1533-position model. The record is from RNAcentral.